Molecule: ribosomal RNA, 465 nt
Filed under: Vreelandella stevensii
Lineage: Bacteria; Pseudomonadati; Pseudomonadota; Gammaproteobacteria; Oceanospirillales; Halomonadaceae
Description: partial 16S ribosomal RNA
Rfam family: Bacterial small subunit ribosomal RNA
Source: RNAcentral
CCUACGGGUGGCUGCAGUGGGGAAUAUUGGACAAUGGGCGAAAGCCUGAUCCAGCCAUGCCGCGUGUGUGAAGAAGGCCUUCGGGUUGUAAAGCACUUUCAGUGGGGAAGAAAGCCUUGGGGCUAAUACCCUCGAGGAAGGACAUCACCCACAGAAGAAGCACCGGCUAACUCCGUGCCAGCAGCCGCGGUAAUACGGAGGGUGCGAGCGUUAAUCGGAAUUACUGGGCGUAAAGCGCGCGUAGGCGGUCUGAUAAGCCGGUUGUGAAAGCCCCGGGCUCAACCUGGGAACGGCAUCCGGAACUGUCAGGCUUGAGUGCAGGAGAGGAAGGUAGAAUUCCCGGUGUAGCGGUGAAAUGCGUAGAGAUCGGGAGGAAUACCAGUGGCGAAGGCGGCCUUCUGGUCUGACACUGACGCUGAGGUGCGAAAGCGUGGGUAGCAAACAGGAUUAGAUACCCCAGUAGUC